AAGAAAGUGACUGCCGCCCCGCACAGGGGCGAAGCCAAUAGACCAAGAACAAAGCAAGUUUCACAGAAGCCGAAGCGCAUCAAACGGCGCAAACCACAA
This 99-nucleotide small RNA is filed under the name Caballeronia glathei. RNAcentral's name for it is "Burkholderia glathei Burkholderia sRNA Bp1_Cand684_SIPHT". It matches the Rfam family "Burkholderia sRNA Bp1_Cand684_SIPHT". The record is from Rfam by way of RNAcentral. Lineage: Bacteria; Pseudomonadati; Pseudomonadota; Betaproteobacteria; Burkholderiales; Burkholderiaceae.